UGGGGAAUAUUGCACAAUGGGGGAAACCCUGAUGCAGCGACGCCGCGUGAACGAAGAAGGUAUUCGUAUCGUAAAGUUCUGUCCUAUGGGAAGAUAAUGACAGUACCAUAGAAGAAAGCUCCGGCUAAAUACGUGCCAGCAGCCGCGGUAAUACGUAUGGAGCGAGCGUUGUCCGGAAUUAUUGGGCGUAAAGGGUACGCAGGCGGUUUAAUAAGUCGAAUGUUAAAGAUCGGGGCUCAACCCCGUAAAGCAUUGGAAACUGAUAAACUGGAGUAGUGGAGAGGAAAGUGGAAUUCCUAGUGUAGUGGUGAAAUACGUAGAUAGUAGGAGGAAUACCAGUAGCGAAGGCGACUUUCUGGACACAAACUGACGCUGAGGUACGAAAGCGUGGGGAGCAAACAGG
This 403-nucleotide ribosomal RNA is filed under the name bacterium. RNAcentral's name for it is "partial 16S ribosomal RNA". It matches the Rfam family "Bacterial small subunit ribosomal RNA", at positions 355 to 776 of the family's 1533-position model. The record is from RNAcentral.